GUGUCAGCAGCCGCGCGGUAAUACGAAGGGACCUAGCGUAGUUCGGAAUUACUGGGCUUAAAGAGCACGUAGGUGGUUAAGAAAGUUGGUGGUGAAAUCCCAAGGCUUAACCUUGGAACUGCCACCAAAACUUUUUAACUAGAGUAUGAUAGAGGUAAGCGGAAUUUCUAGUGUAGAGGUGAAAUUCGUAGAUAUUAGAAAGAACACCAAUUGCGAAGGCAGCUUUCUGGAUCAUUACUGACACUGAGGUGCGAAAGCAUGGGUAGCGAAGAGGAUUAGAUACCCUCGUAGUCCAUGCUGUAAACGAUGUGUGCUAGACGUUGGAAAUUUAAUUUUCAGUGUCGCAGCAAAAGCGUUAAGCACACCGCCUGGGGAGUACGACCGCAAGGUUAAAACUCAAAUGAAUUGACGGGGACCCGCACAAGCAGUGGAGCAUGUGGUUUAAUUCGAAGAUACGCGCAGAACCUUACCAACACUUGACAUGUUCGUCGCGACUCUAAGAGAUUAGAGUUUUCGGUUCGGCCGGACGAAACACAGGUGCUGCAUGGCUGUCGUCAGCUCGUGUCGUGAGAUGUUGGGUUAAGUCCCGCAACGAGCGCAACCCUCACUUUUAGUUGCUACCAUUAAGUUGGGCACUCUAAAAGAACUGCCAGUGAUAAGCUGGAGGAAGGUGGGGAUGACGUCAAGUCCUCAUGGCCCUUACGUGUUGGGCUACACACGUGCUACAAUGGUAUUUACAAUGGGAUGCAAAGGGGCGACCCUUAGCCAAUCCCAAAAAUAUACCUCAGUUCGGAUUGUACUCUGCAACUCGAGUGCAUGAAGCUGGAAUUGCUAGUAAUCGCGGAUCAGCGCGCCGCGGUGAAUACGUUCCCGGGUCUUGCACACACCGCCCGUCA
RNAcentral lists this ribosomal RNA (896 nucleotides) under uncultured bacterium. Its description in RNAcentral is "bacterial SSU rRNA". It matches the Rfam family "Bacterial small subunit ribosomal RNA", at positions 505 to 1399 of the family's 1533-position model. The record is from RNAcentral.